Long non-coding RNA from Bombus huntii, 1523 nucleotides. RefSeq lists it as uncharacterized. The record is from RefSeq and is a predicted model, not a curated record. Lineage: Eukaryota; Metazoa; Arthropoda; Insecta; Hymenoptera; Apidae. The transcript is spliced from 2 exons.
CUUAAAAGCUUAACGUGUAGUCAAUAUUUGACAGCAUUUUGAAUACUUUAAUCCAAAUACAUACAUUGGUAUAAAAUAUUAAAGAUAAGUAAAUAGAAAGUUUGAGAUAUUGGAAAUGCAUCUACGCGAACGAUUUCCAAGAGUUUUGAAGUAUUGAAUGAUAUUCGAAUCACUUCGAAUCUCGGCAUUCUUAAAAAACAUUGAAUCAUCUCAAAACUGACAAUGAAAUUUGAAUGCCCAUCAUAAGUUGUAUUUCUAUGCGAUCCAAUCCUGCAAGCUACUUCAAUUGGAGGUUAUGAAUCUAUCGAUGUUUUUUCGAUCAAUCAUAUGUAUUUUCUACACUUUUUUUAAGACUCAAUUCACGUAUUGAUUUCGUUAAAAAGUGGGUACUUCGUACAUAGCAACAGCAAUUUUUCAGCAAGGUGUAUAAAAAUAUCGAUAGGAAGGGAUUGAUAAUAUACAGAAUACAGAACGAUAUAAAAAUAAUUUACUUAACAAAAAGUAUAUAAUCUCAUACUGCUCCAAUUUGAGGUAGGUAGCUGGAAAUAUUGAUGAGGUUUAAUUCAAUAAAGAGGAAUGGAUAUUAUAUAGAAGUGGUAUACAUUUGACAUGACAAAAAAUAACAUAUUUAUCUGGAAGGAAUGAGAUGUAAAAUAAGUCCAAUAUGGCUUUUAUUAAGUCAAUGAUAAUGACAAGUGAAAUAAAUUAAUCUCUAACAUCAACCGUAUGUCGUAAUUGCAUGAUGUUAGUAACAAUAAAUUAAAUAAGUAGUUACAUUUAAGUAAUCAGAUAAUCUACAUAUAGACUGUUUACUAAUAUACAUUAGCAAUUAACGUAAUUUAUAAAUAAAUUCUUCUUCAGGAGUUCUAAAAAUAAUAUCGAGCUUACAAUCCAAUGGCGUGUAUGAUUAUGUCACAUGUAAUGUGUACCUAAACAGGGAAUUAUUCACAAUACAUGCUUGACGAUUUUGUUACAGUGAGUCUAAAGUAACAAACUUAGAAUAACAUCAUGUAUUUCUUUAUACCAAACUGCAUUUUCUAAUUGCGUUAAACUAGAAUUUAUUUUCUGUAACAUCAACUUUUUGUAAUUAUGAAAGCAUACGUUCAAUGAUUAUGGCAUUUAAAAUGCUCGACGUCCGUGUAAGUAUAUAAUUUUCUAAAAAUUGUACCAACUCAGUAUACAAUGAUAUACCUAGUCAUAAAUACGUUUCUUAAUCAUAUCGAUGCAUUUAAAGACUUAUAUACAGAUUAGAACAUAUCUGUUCUAUUCCUUAAUGAAAACUGAAACACUGUACAUAAAAAUAUUUACAUAUUAAAAUUGAAAUUGUUGUUAUGGUCGUGUCCUUUUUCCGAAGUUGAUCGUUAAAAUAGUUAAGAUUCAGCGCAGCCGUAAUUAAUGUACAUUUACGCGCUUAAAAUCUUCCCUCUUAUCUUCAUCUCGUUCAUUUUGAGCUUGCAAGCUAACUGCAACGAAGGUAGAAAGUCGUUGUAUAAAGUACGAAAAAAGAUAAAUAGGUCUACAAA